This 492-nucleotide ribosomal RNA is filed under the name uncultured bacterium. Its description in RNAcentral is "partial 16S ribosomal RNA". It matches the Rfam family "Bacterial small subunit ribosomal RNA", at positions 29 to 507 of the family's 1533-position model. The record is from RNAcentral.
AGUGAACGCUGGCGGUAGGCCUAACACAUGCAAGUCGAACGGCAGCACAGUAAGAGCUUGCUCUUACGGGUGGCGAGUGGCGGACGGGUGAGGAAUACAUCGGAAUCUACUUUUUCGCGGGGGAUAACGUAGGGAAACUUACGCUAAUACCGCAUACGACCUACGGGUGAAAGCAGGGGAUCUUCGGACCUUGCGCGAUUGAAUGAGCCGAUGUCGGAUUAGCUAGUUGGCGGGGUAAAGGCCCACCAAGGCGACGAUCCGUAGCUGGUCUGAGAGGAUGAUCACCCACACUGGAACUGAGACACGGUCCAGACUCCUACGGGAGGCAGCGGUGGGGAAUAUUGGACAAUGGGCGCAAGCCUGAUCCAGCCAUACCGCGUGGGUGAAGAAGGCCUUCGGGUUGUAAAGCCCUUUUGUUGGGAAAGAAAAGCAGCAGGUUAAUACCCCGCUGUUCUGACGGUACCCAAAGAAUAAGCACCGGCUAACUUCGUG